RNAcentral lists this long non-coding RNA (938 nucleotides) under Cricetulus griseus (Chinese hamster). RNAcentral's name for it is "lncRNA (ENSCGRG00015033802.1)". Lineage: Eukaryota; Metazoa; Chordata; Mammalia; Rodentia; Cricetidae. The record is from RNAcentral.
AAAAAAGUAAAAAAUUAAAAAAAAAAAAACAGAAGAAAGCAGGCUGAACAAGCAAUUGAAAGGAAGCCAGGAAGCAGGCUUCCUCCGUGGCCUCUGCUUCAGUUCCUGCCUCCAUGUUCCUGCCUUGACUUCGCUUCCUGAUGGGCUGUGACCUAUAAGAUAAAACAAACCCUUUCCUCCCCAAGUCACUUUCUGUCACAGAAUAGAAAUCUAGCAUGGCUACUGGUAUGAUGUUACGGUGAUGUGGUCCCGGAGCUGUCGUGCAGGGCAGGCGACCCUGCUGUCACUGAAGCUCAGCUUUGGGCUGUGCAGCCCUGUCCUGGUUAGGGCUUCUAUUGCUGCAGUCAAUCACCAUGACCAGAAAGCAAGUUGGGGACAAAAGAGCUUAUUUGACUUUACCCUUCGGCACCACUGCUCAUCAUGGAAGGAAGUCAGGACAGCUGCCAUAUGACCAGCUGCUUCCUGAUCCCACCACCAAGCCCUCUCAGCCAGGAUAGACUGUACCUUCAAAUCUUGAUCCACCAAACUGUGACCCUCUAAACCAUGAUCCUUCAAACUGUGAUCCUCCAAACCGUGAUCCUCCAAACUGUGACCCUCCAAACCUGAGGAGACACUGUCAACAUCCCACCCUGACCCACCGUGGCAGUCCUCUUGGCCCUGGAUGGUACUCCCACCCCGGGGAACCAUAAAUCCUGCCUGCUAAUGUCCCACAAUCGCACCGUCCUCUGGAGACUUGCUCUUGGUCAGUGGGAGCCACGUCUUUACUUCUGUGAGAUAGCAGGCUCAGGCACAGUAGGUUUAUGGGAUUGUGUGGUAACCUCUAUAACCAAGCCAUUAAUCCUAGCACUUGAGAGGCAGAGGCAAGGAGACCUCUGUGCAUUUGAGUUCAGCCUGGUCACCAUAGUAAGCUCCAGGACAGCCAGGGCUACAUAGUGAGA